This 187-nucleotide unclassified non-coding RNA is filed under the name Funneliformis sp. Its description in RNAcentral is "partial internal transcribed spacer region". The stretch from base 1 to 46 matches the Rfam family "Eukaryotic small subunit ribosomal RNA", at positions 1786 to 1831 of the family's 1831-position model. Lineage: Eukaryota; Fungi; Glomeromycota; Glomeromycetes; Glomerales; Glomeraceae. RNAcentral also lists the same sequence under 1 other name. The record is from RNAcentral.
AAGUCGUAACAAGGUUUCCGUAGGUGAACCUGCGGAAGGAUCAUUAAUGAUUUUUAAAGCGAGUCGAGCGUCAAGCGAGGCUUGCGAAAAAUAUUUAAAACCCCACUCUUUUUAACUUUAAAAUAUAAAUCAUGAUACAUGAAUUUAAAAAAAAAGAUCACUUUCAACAACGGAUCUCUUGGCUCUC